This 717-nucleotide ribosomal RNA is filed under the name Pseudalkalibacillus decolorationis. RNAcentral's name for it is "bacterial SSU rRNA". It matches the Rfam family "Bacterial small subunit ribosomal RNA", at positions 396 to 1104 of the family's 1533-position model. Lineage: Bacteria; Bacillati; Bacillota; Bacilli; Caryophanales; Fictibacillaceae. The record is from RNAcentral.
GCCGCGUGAGCGAUGAAGGCCUUCGGGUCGUAAAGCUCUGUUGUUAGGGAAGAACAAGUACCGUUCAAAUAGGGCGGUACCUUGACGGUACCUAACCAGAAAGCCACGGCUAACUACGUGCCAGCAGCCGCGGUAAUACGUAGGUGGCAAGCGUUGUCCGGAAUUAUUGGGCGUAAAGCGCGCGCAGGCGGUCUCUUAAGUCUGAUGUGAAAGCCCACGGCUCAACCGUGGAGGGUCAUUGGAAACUGGGGGACUUGAGUACUGGAGAGGAGAGUGGAAUUCCAUGUGUAGCGGUGAAAUGCGUAGAUAUAUGGAGGAACACCAGUGGCGAAGGCGGCUCUCUGGCCAGUAACUGACGCUGAGGCGCGAAAGCGUGGGGAGCAAACAGGAUUAGAUACCCUGGUAGUCCACGCCGUAAACGAUGAGUGCUAGGUGUUGGGGGGUUCCACCCUCAGUGCUGACGUUAACACAUUAAGCACUCCGCCUGGGGAGUACGACCGCAAGGUUGAAACUCAAAGGAAUUGACGGGGGCCCGCACAAGCAGUGGAGCAUGUGGUUUAAUUCGAAGCAACGCGAAGAACCUUACCAGGUCUUGACAUCCUUCGCUACUUCUAGAGAUAGAAGGUUCCCCUUCGGGGGACGAAGUGACAGGUGGUGCAUGGUUGUCGUCAGCUCGUGUCGUGAGAUGUUGGGUUAAGUCCCGCACGAGCGCAACCC